Molecule: long non-coding RNA, 550 nt
Organism: Scylla paramamosain (green mud crab)
Lineage: Eukaryota; Metazoa; Arthropoda; Malacostraca; Decapoda; Portunidae
Exons: 4
Source: RefSeq, a predicted model, not a curated record
GGGACAAGCAGAAGCAUUCCGUUGUCUUUAAACGCAUUUGUAAUCAUGAUGUGGCGCACCUUCCUGCUGGUGUUGGCGGUGAUGGUGGUGAUGGCCGCUAUCGCUAACGCUGAACCGCACAGACACGGCGGUGGCAGUAGCGGCGGCGGCUUGGGCGGCGGCGGCGGCUUGGGAGGCGGUGGUGGACAUGGAAAUGGUUUUGGUGGCGGUGCCGGACUGGGUGGAGGUGGAGGAUACGGCAAAUAACACGACAACGACUCCACCAGUGACGACUACUCUGUGCCACCACCACCACCACCACCACGAACGACACCUACCCUUUUCCCUCCCUUCCCUCCUUCCCUUCUUUCCCUUAACCACACUCCUAAAGAUUAGAAGUAUUGGCAUUAGCUUUGUAACUCUGAUUUAGCUAGGGAAUUCUCUCUCUCUCUCUCUCUCUCUCUCUCUCUCUCUCUCUCUCUCUCUCUCUCUCUCUCUCUCUCUCUCUCUCUCUCUCUCUCUCUCUCUCUCUCUGUAUAUCUGACAUUUCGGAAUUAAACUUGCAAGAGGA